RNAcentral lists this small RNA (85 nucleotides) under Paraburkholderia ginsengiterrae. RNAcentral describes it as "Pseudomonas sRNA P9". It matches the Rfam family "Pseudomonas sRNA P9". From Rfam's summary of the family: P9 appears to be conserved in several Pseudomonas species in addition to Bordetella spp. In both Pseudomonas and Bordetella spp P9 appears to be located upstream of a predicted threonine dehydratase gene. The record is from Rfam by way of RNAcentral. Lineage: Bacteria; Pseudomonadati; Pseudomonadota; Betaproteobacteria; Burkholderiales; Burkholderiaceae.
CUGAUUAUUAGCAUCAUUCAUCGAAUGGUGGGUUAGCGCACGUCGGAUCUCAGUGACAGAUAACCCGCCCCACGAGGCGGGUUUU